RNAcentral lists this long non-coding RNA (1925 nucleotides) under Sus scrofa (pig). RNAcentral's name for it is "lncRNA (ENSSSCG00050001030.1)". The record is from RNAcentral. Lineage: Eukaryota; Metazoa; Chordata; Mammalia; Artiodactyla; Suidae.
AGCAUUUCUGAAUGUUUUGCUAUCUCGCCAGCACCUUCUUUCUCUCUCUGCCUGCCCUGCAGCCCAGCCUCAGUUCCAGAAAGGGGAAGGCUUGCCUGGACACUGUCAUGAAGUUCUAUCUGGGCUUCUGUGUUGCGUUCAAGUGCUGAGGGUCAUCAGACUGGCUCCCUGGUCCCUGAUGCUCUUUCCUCAUGAUCACAAAAUGGCUAUUACCGUUAUGAACGUACAUCUUUAUGCCACGAUCUCCAGGAGUAGAGAGAAGGUAUUUACUGGUGGUUCCUGCUCAAGUCUAAGGAUUCAUUCUCCCUCACUGGCUGAAACUGCAUUACAUGCCCAUGUCUAAACCAAUCACCUUGGGAGGGACAUGAAGGUAGGGGGAGGGAUUAGACUUAUUUAAACCAAUCAAGACCUUUACUUGGAGCUGAGGGUAGGACCACACAAGAUCUAACAGCCUGGCUGGACAUGGCCGGGGAGUUGAAAUUUCCAAAUGAAGAGGAGUACUUUUGGUGGGAAAUUAAUUUUUAGAGUACAACAACAACAACAAAAGUACAUCACACUUUCUCAGAGGGGACCUCACCGUGCACCCCAUCUAAGGAAGGACCCUCUGUUAUCCUCUAUUACUGAAUGCUAUGCAUUUCCCUCAUAGCACCUGCUACUGUUUGUACAGUUUUUUUUUUUUUUCACUUGUUUAUGGUCACUAGGCUCUAACUUCAUAAGAACAGAUGCCAUGUCUGAUUUGCUUGCUUAGGGCUGGAACAUACUAGAAAACUCAGUGACUAUCUAUUAAUACGAGAAAAGUGAACAAUUUUCAUCUUUUUCCAAUUUAGUCCUGGAGAUGCAGGAGGGGAGAGGUUGGAAGGGUAAGGGUGAGUCACUGUGAGUGCUGUGAGUGUUAAUUUGGCUUUUCUUUGUCUAGAAGCUUAGUCCUCUGUCUCUUCCAAUAAUCCCUCAAAUUCCCCAUCCCCAUGCCUUUUCUUAUUAACCCACCUGCUCCUGGCACUCCAGUAAUAUGAUGUUUCUUUGAGGUUUUUUUUAAAACCUAGUUUGAAUUAGUGUCCUAAUAGGAAUCUUGAUUUUUAAAAAGAGUUAGUUGGAUUGUUUUUCCAAAUAACAUAGGAACCAAAUAUUCUUUCUUUGUGUUUCCCCAGCUCCUAAAAAUGUAGUGGGUAUGCUUUACUGAAUGAAAAUUCAAUCUCCUUUAUGAAAAUUGAGACUGAAGUCAAUGCUAGGUAGUAGAAAGAGAGAGAAAAGCUGAGAGUGAGCCAGGAAAAAGAAAAAAAUUGCCAGGAAAGAAUAAAGUUUGUUAAACAGAGAAGAAGGAAGUCUUUGGAUUAAAGGGACAUAGCUGAAGAGAAGGAAAGUCAGAAUAACUUGGGAAAUAGAGUAAAAACUUACAAAAUAGAAAUAGAGCUGGAGGACUCAUCCUUCCUUCUUACAUUUAUCCAUUUAUUCCUCAAUACUUAUUGAGCACUUAAUAUGUGCCAGACACUCUUCUAGGAGCCGAGGAUACAGGGGUGACCAAAACAUACCAGUCUUUGCCACUGUGGAGCUCAUAUUUUAGUGAGGAAAGAUAGACAGUAAGCAAAUACAUGGACAGAGACUAUAGGCUCCUGGAUACAAAUGCCAGAUUGAAAAGACAUAUCUACUCUUCCUCCCUCCUAAGACUCCACAGGAUGAGACAAAUGGAGUAGGGGUUUGGGAUGGGCAUAUGCACACUGUGGUAUGUGGAAUGAUUAGCCAUCAGGGACCUGCUGUAUCAGCGCGGAGAGCUGUACCCAAUGCUCUGUGAUAAUCUAUAUGGGAAAAGAAUCUGAAAAAGAAUGGAUGUGUGUAUGUGUAUAACUGAAUCACUGUUGUUGUACACCAGAAAUUACCACAUCAUUGCAAGUCAACUAAACUUUAAUAAAACUUAAAAAAAAAAAAAA